This 552-nucleotide ribosomal RNA is filed under the name uncultured bacterium. Its description in RNAcentral is "partial 16S ribosomal RNA". It matches the Rfam family "Bacterial small subunit ribosomal RNA", at positions 355 to 902 of the family's 1533-position model. The record is from RNAcentral.
CUAAGAAUAUUCCGCAAUGGACGGAAGUCUGACGGAGCGACGCCGCGUGGAUGACGAAGGCCGAAAGGUUGUAAAGUUCUUUUGCUGGGGAAGAAUAACCGCAGGAGGGAAUGCCUGUGGGAUGACAAGAACCGGCGAAUAAGCCCCGGCCAACUACGUGCCAGCAGCCGCGGUAACACGUAGGGGGCGAGCGUUGUUCGGAAUUACUGAGCGUAAAGGGCAUGUAGGCGGCUUGGAAAGCCUGGCGUGAAAGUCUGCAGCUUAACUGCAGGGGUGCGCUGGGAACUGCUGAGCUUGAGUGACGGAGAGGGAGCUGGAAUUCCUGGUGUAGGGGUGGAAUCUGUAGAUAUCAGGAAGAACACCGAUGGCAAAGGCAAGCUCCUGGCCGAUGACUGACGCUGAGGUGCGAAAGUGUGGGGAUCAAACAGGAUUAGAUACCCUGGUAGUCCACACAGUCAACGAUGUGCACUAGGUGCUGGGGCGGUAGCUUCGGUGCCGGAGCGAACGUGGUAAGUGCACCGCCUGGGGAGUAUGCUCGCAAGGGUGAAACUC